Molecule: ribosomal RNA, 442 nt
Filed under: uncultured bacterium
Lineage: Bacteria
Description: partial 16S ribosomal RNA
Rfam family: Bacterial small subunit ribosomal RNA
Source: RNAcentral
CCUACGGGAGGCAGCAGUGGGGAAUAUUGGGCAAUGGGCGAAAGCCUGACCCAGCAACGCCGCGUGAAGGAAGAAGGCUUUCGGGUUGUAAACUUCUUUUGACAGGGAAGAGCAGAAGACGGUACCUGUCGAAUAAGCCACGGCUAACUACGUGCCAGCAGCCGCGGUAAUACGUAGGGGGCAAGCGUUAUCCGGAUUUACUGGGUGUAAAGGGAGCGCAGACGGUGAGACAAGUCUGAAGUGAAAGCCCGGGGCUCAACCCCGGGACUGCUUUGGAAACUGCCUGACUGGAGUGCUGGAGAGGCAAGCGGAAUUCCUAGUGUAGCGGUGAAAUGCGUAGAUAUUAGGAAGAACACCAGUGGCGAAGGCGGCUUGCUGGACAGUAACUGACGUUGAGGCUCGAAAGCGUGGGGAGCAAACAGGAUUAGAUACCCGUGUAGUC